GCAAGUCGAGCGGUAGAGAGAAGCUUGCUUCUCUUGAGAGCGGCGGACGGGUGAGUAAUGCCUAGGAAUCUGCCUGGUAGUGGGGGAUAACGCUCGGAAACGGACGCUAAUACCGCAUACGUCCUACGGGAGAAAGCAGGGGACCUUCGGGCCUUGCGCUAUCAGAUGAGCCUAGGUCGGAUUAGCUAGUUGGUGAGGUAAUGGCUCACCAAGGCGACGAUCCGUAACUGGUCUGAGAGGAUGAUCAGUCACACUGGAACUGAGACACGGUCCAGACUCCUACGGGAGGCAGCAGUGGGGAAUAUUGGACAAUGGGCGAAAGCCUGAUCCAGCCAUGCCGCGUGUGUGAAGAAGGUCUUCGGAUUGUAAAGCACUUUAAGUUGGGAGGAAGGGCAGUAAAUUAAUACUUUGCUGUUUUGACGUUACCGACAGAAUAAGCACCGGCUAACUCUGUGCCAGCAGCCGCGGUAAUACAGAGGGUGCAAGCGUUAAUCGGAAUUACUGGGCGUAAAGCGCGCGUAGGUGGUUAGUUAAGUUGGAUGUGAAAUCCCCGGGCUCAACCUGGGAACUGCAUUCAAAACUGACUGACUAGAGUAUGGUAGAGGGUGGUGGAAUUUCCUGUGUAGCGGUGAAAUGCGUAGAUAUAGGAAGGAACACCAGUGGCGAAGGCGACCACCUGGACUGAUACUGACACUGAGGGUGCGAAGCGUGGGGAGCAAACAGGAUUAGAUACCCUGGUAGUCCACGCCGUAAACGAUGUC
RNAcentral lists this ribosomal RNA (761 nucleotides) under uncultured bacterium. Its description in RNAcentral is "bacterial SSU rRNA". It matches the Rfam family "Bacterial small subunit ribosomal RNA", at positions 57 to 813 of the family's 1533-position model. The record is from RNAcentral.